UGUCGAGUUCCCAAAAAGCUCCGCAGGGGCUGUGGGGAGGUUGAAGCAUAUGAAGAAAACACCAGCCUUGAACAGAUAUGUAGCAGGAAAAGCGAGGAUGUUACAAGCCUGCUGAAAGGCUCCUGGGGACAUCCAGGGGUCCUGAGACCACAGUUUGAGAAAGCUGGUUUUACCAUUUUUGGAUUGGUGGGCUGUUAGGUUGUUUAAAAUUUUACACUGUUACAACCCUUACAACAGUGAAAGUUCUUUGUGAUGUUUUCUGGUGUAUGCGUGCUAGUGUUUUUCUGUAAGUAGAAUUGCUAGGUCAUAGAGUUUUGCUUUUUUUUUUUGAGUUUGUUAAACACAUUACUUUUGAUGCCUGUAUAAUUUUCUUUUGUGCACUAAUGUUGGUGUUUAGAUUGUUUCAACUAAUAAUUUAGUGAAAUAUCUUUGCAUGUUUUUAGUUGUUUUGAAUUAUUUUCUUUUUGAGGUGGCUGGGGGGAGUCCAGUAAAAACCAGACAACUGCCAGAUACAUUCUAAGAGAGCUUUAACACAUGGAUUCUUUUCUAAAAUUUCUAAAAAGAUAAUUGUUAGAUCAAAUAUUAGGAAUCUUUUUCAGGCUAUUGAUACAUAUUGUCACAUUGUUUUCAUGGGAGAUAGUACCAGUUUAUUUCCUGUCAGCAGUGUCUGACAUGCUUUAAAAAAAAAAA
This 690-nucleotide small RNA is filed under the name Pongo abelii (Sumatran orangutan). RNAcentral describes it as "processed transcript". The record is from RNAcentral. Lineage: Eukaryota; Metazoa; Chordata; Mammalia; Primates; Hominidae.